This 301-nucleotide ribosomal RNA is filed under the name uncultured bacterium. RNAcentral describes it as "partial 16S ribosomal RNA". It matches the Rfam family "Bacterial small subunit ribosomal RNA", at positions 509 to 807 of the family's 1533-position model. The record is from RNAcentral.
CAGCCGCCGCGGGAAUACGUAGGGUGCAAGCGUUAAUCGGAAUUACUGGGCGUAAAGCGUGCGCAGGCGGUUAUAUAAGACAGAUUUGAAAUCCCCGGGCUCAACCUGGGAACUGCAUUUGUGACUGUAUAGCUAGAGUACGGCAGAGGGGGAUGGAAUUCCGCGUGUAGCAGUGAAAUGCGUAGAUAUGCGGAGGAACACCGAUGGCGAAGGCAAUCCCCUGGGCCUGUACUGACGCUCAUGCACGAAAGCGUGGGGAGCAAACAGGAUUAGAUACCCCUGUAGUCCCUGUCUCUUAUAC